This 208-nucleotide ribosomal RNA is filed under the name Syllis gracilis complex lineage 1 PAC-2017. Its description in RNAcentral is "partial 16S ribosomal RNA". The record is from RNAcentral. Lineage: Eukaryota; Metazoa; Annelida; Polychaeta; Phyllodocida; Syllidae.
AAGAACCAACGAAAGGGACUCGGUCUGGUAUAUAUUCAAUGAAACUUAUAAAUGGGUGAAAAAGCCCAUAUUUAAAUUAAAGACAAGAAGACCCUAUAAGCUUUUUUAAAACUUAAUAAUUUCAAUUAUUUAUUAUUUAGUUGGGGGGACUGAAAGAUAUAAACACUUUUUCAUCAUUAGAGAUAAUCCCUCACUUUACCUAUCCCAU